Molecule: ribosomal RNA, 253 nt
Filed under: uncultured bacterium
Lineage: Bacteria
Description: partial 16S ribosomal RNA
Rfam family: Bacterial small subunit ribosomal RNA
Source: RNAcentral
UACGUAGGGUCCGAGCGUUGUCCGGAAUUACUGGGCGUAAAGAGCUCGUAGGUGGUUUGUCGCGUUGUUCGUGAAAACUCACAGCUCAACUGUGGGCGUGCGGGCGAUACGGGCAGACUAGAGUACUGCAGGGGAGACUGGAAUUCCUGGUGUAGCGGUGGAAUGCGCAGAUAUCAGGAGGAACACCGGUGGCGAAGGCGGGUCUCUGGGCCGAUACUGACGCUGAGGAGCGAAAGCGUGGGGAGCGAAUGGG